UCACACCCAGAACCCUUAAACAAUAUUGAGUAAUUCUAUAUCGCUAUAGAAGAUUUUAUGUUAAAACUAGUAACAAGAAGAAGAACUUCUUACAUGAUGCAAGUAUAAAUCAGACAGGACACCCCGCUGAUAAUUAACACCAAUGAAGAAAAAGUAGUAACUCACCAAGAAAACUCUACUASAUAUAUGUGUUAACCUAACACCAGAGCAUUCCAAAAAAGAUUAAAAGAAAGAGAAGGAACUCGGCAAAUAUUAACUCGCCUGUUUACCAAAAACAUCGCCUCUUGAAUAAAUAUAAGAGGUCCAGCCUGCCCAGUGACUCUGUUCAACGGCCGCGGUAUCCUAACCGUGCGAAGGUAGCGUAAUCACUUGUUCUUUAAAUAAGGACUAGUAUGAAKGGCACCACGAAGGUUAUACUGUCUCCUCUUUUUAAUCAGUGAAAUAAUCUCCCCGUGAAGAAGCGGGAAUGAAACUAUAAGACGAGAAGACCCUAGGGAGCUUAAACCACGUAGAACUUGCACCUACCAAACACAAAUUCCAGAAAAUUAUACUUCAUCCUGCAAGAUAUACCAGUUAGGUGGGGUGACCGCGGAGCAAAAAUAAACCUYCACAUUGAAAGGAACCUACUCSUUAGCCAAGAGCCACACCUCUUGCAACAUAACAAKGACAUUAAUUGMCCCAAUMUUUUGAUCAACGAACCAAGUUACCCUAGGGAUAACAGCGCAAUCCACUUUAAGAGCUCCAUCGACAAGUGGGUUUACGACCUCGAUGUUGGAUCAGGGUAUCCMGGUGGUGCAGCCG
Molecule: ribosomal RNA, 801 nt
Filed under: Rulyrana spiculata (Cuzco cochran frog)
Lineage: Eukaryota; Metazoa; Chordata; Amphibia; Anura; Centrolenidae
Description: partial 16S ribosomal RNA
Rfam family: Bacterial large subunit ribosomal RNA
Source: RNAcentral